Molecule: ribosomal RNA, 252 nt
Filed under: uncultured Bacteroidales bacterium
Lineage: Bacteria; Pseudomonadati; Bacteroidota; Bacteroidia; Bacteroidales
Description: partial 16S ribosomal RNA
Rfam family: Bacterial small subunit ribosomal RNA
Source: RNAcentral
UACGGAGGAUGCGAGCGUUAUCCGGAUUUAUUGGGUUUAAAGGGUGCGCAGGCGGAUUUUUAAGUCAGCGGUCAAAUCGUGGGGCUCAACCCCAUCCAGCCGUUGAAACUGGGGAUCUAGAGUGUGCGAGAGGUAUGCGGAAUGCGUGGUGUAGCGGUGAAAUGCGUAGAUAUCAGGAGGAACACCAGUGGCGAAGGCGGCUUACUGGACUGUAACUGACGUUGAGGCUCGAAAGCGUGGGGAGCAAACAGG